UUGCCUACGGGACGCAGCAGUGGGGAAUAUUGCGCAAUGGGGGCAACCCUGACGCAGCAACGCCGCGUGCAGGAAGAAGGUCUUCGGAUUGUAAACUGUUGUCGCAGGGGAAGAAGACAGUGACGGUACCCUGUGAGAAAGUCACGGCUAACUACGUGCCAGCAGCCGCGGUAAUACGUAGGUGACAAGCGUUGUCCGGAUUUACUGGGUGUAAAGGGCGCGUAGGCGGGAUAGCAAGUCAGUCAUGAAAUGCCGAGGCUUAACCUCGGAGCUGCGAUUGAAACUGUAGUUCUUGAGUGAUGGAG
This 305-nucleotide ribosomal RNA is filed under the name uncultured bacterium. RNAcentral's name for it is "bacterial SSU rRNA". It matches the Rfam family "Bacterial small subunit ribosomal RNA", at positions 335 to 654 of the family's 1533-position model. The record is from RNAcentral.